This 495-nucleotide ribosomal RNA is filed under the name uncultured bacterium. RNAcentral's name for it is "partial 16S ribosomal RNA". It matches the Rfam family "Bacterial small subunit ribosomal RNA", at positions 28 to 507 of the family's 1533-position model. The record is from RNAcentral.
GACGAACGCUGGCGGCGUGCCUAAUACAUGCAAGUAGAACGCUGAAGGAGGAGCUUGCUUCUCUGGAUGAGUUGCGAACGGGUGAGUAACGCGUAGGUAACCUGCCUGGUAGCGGGGGAUAACUAUUGGAAACGAUAGCUAAUACCGCAUAAUAGCAGUUGUUGCAUGAUAACUGUUUGAAAGGUGCAAUUGCACCACUACCAGAUGGACCUGCGUUGUAUUAGCUAGUUGGUGGGGUAACGGCUCACCAAGGCGACGAUACAUAGCCGACCUGAGAGGGGGAUCGGCCACACUGGGACUGAGACACGGCCCAGACUCCUACGGGAGGCAGCAGUAGGGAAUCUUCGGCAAUGGACGGAAGUCUGACCGAGCAACGCCGCGUGAGUGAAGAAGGGUGUCGGGUCGUAAAGCUCUGUUGUAAGAGAAGAACGAGUGUGAGAGUGGAAAGUUCACACUGUGACGGUAUCUUACCAGAAAGGGACGGCUAACUACGUG